GCCCAAUGAUUUAUUAAAUGGCCGCGGUAUACUGACCGUGCAAAGGUAGCAUAAUCACUAGUUUUUUAAUUGGAAGCUUGAAUGAAAGGUUGGAUGAGGAAACUACUGUCUCAAUUAAAAUUUAUUAGAAUUUUAUUAUUUUGUAAAAAGGCAAAAAUUUGUAUAAAAGACGAGAAGACCCUAUAGAGUUUUAUAAUUUUAGGAGAAAGGGUAAUUAGAAUAUAUUUUUUUAUUUUUUAAAAUUAUUUGGUUGGGGUGAUUGAAAAAUUUAAUUAACUUUUUUUGUAUGAAAUACAUAGAUUUAUGAGUAUUUGAUCCUUAGUAAAGAUUAAAAGAAAAAAUUACCUUAGGGAUAACAGCGUUAUUUUUCUUGAGAGU
RNAcentral lists this ribosomal RNA (378 nucleotides) under Euwallacea sp. 3 KO-2014. RNAcentral's name for it is "partial 16S ribosomal RNA". The stretch from base 1 to 156 matches the Rfam family "Archaeal large subunit ribosomal RNA", at positions 1953 to 2143 of the family's 2987-position model. The record is from RNAcentral. Lineage: Eukaryota; Metazoa; Arthropoda; Insecta; Coleoptera; Curculionidae.